UACGUAGGGUGCAGGCGUUAAUCGGAAUUACUGGGCGUAAAGCGUGCGCAGGCGGUUUCUUAAGUCAGAUGUGAAAGCCCCGGGCUUAACCUGGGAACUGCGUUUGAAACUGGGACACUUGAGUGUGGCAGAGGGGGGUGGAAUUCCACGUGUAGCAGUGAAAUGCGUAGAUAUGUGGAGGAACACCGAUGGCGAAGGCAGCCCCCUGGGUUAACACUGACGCUCAUGCACGAAAGCGUGGGGAGCAAACAGG
RNAcentral lists this ribosomal RNA (253 nucleotides) under uncultured bacterium. Its description in RNAcentral is "partial 16S ribosomal RNA". It matches the Rfam family "Bacterial small subunit ribosomal RNA", at positions 524 to 776 of the family's 1533-position model. The record is from RNAcentral.